ACGACUCUCGGCAACGGAUAUCUCGGCUCACGCAUCGAUGAAGAACGUAGCAAAAUGCGAUACUUGGUGUGAAUUGCAGAAUCCCGUGAACCAUCGAGUUUUUGAACGCAAGUUGCGCCCGAAGCCAUCCGGCUGAGGGCACGCCUGCCUGGGCGUCACGCA
RNAcentral lists this ribosomal RNA (162 nucleotides) under Lactuca indica. RNAcentral describes it as "5.8S ribosomal RNA". It matches the Rfam family "5.8S ribosomal RNA". Rfam says of the family: 5.8S ribosomal RNA (5.8S rRNA) is a component of the large subunit of the eukaryotic ribosome. It is transcribed by RNA polymerase I as part of the 45S precursor that also contains 18S and 28S rRNA. Functionally, it is thought that 5.8S rRNA may be involved in ribosome translocation. RNAcentral also lists the same sequence under 1 other name. Lineage: Eukaryota; Viridiplantae; Streptophyta; Magnoliopsida; Asterales; Asteraceae. The record is from RNAcentral.